Molecule: non-coding RNA, 82 nt
Organism: Bacillus sp. FJAT-27231
Lineage: Bacteria; Bacillati; Bacillota; Bacilli; Caryophanales; Bacillaceae
Source: Rfam
CCCGUGCUACAACCGCUCAUACCAGGUUCCGAAGAGUUUGUUUUUAGCAGACCACCUGCGAAUGGCGAGUCUGAGUAAUUAA